AUGGAGCUCACCAACAUCCCCCAUCUUUCCUCCUCCUCCAGCUUCUUCUUCUCCAGCUGCAGAAGUAGAAGAAGAACUGGGAAGGCUGUGAUAACAGCGCUUGCUGCUGGUAGUAGGUGCAGUGCUGAUUCUGCAUGCCCAGAGCCCAUUGAACAGCAUAAUGUAGACAGCCUUUCAGUGGCCUCAGGUCCUGCAAAUACCCAAUGUUAUAGAAGGAGGGGUUUUGCUGCUGUUGCUCUGCUCCCUUUUCUACUUCCUCACGUUGAUAUGGCGAGUGCGGCUGACUCAUAUGAUGGAUCAAUUAUUCAAAACGGUGUGAGGAAUGUCUUAACCAAGGUGAAAGCAGCUGGCGUGCUUCGUUUGGUUUUCCAUGAUGCAGGGACUUUUGAUAUUAGUGACAAAUCAGGUGGCAUGAAUGGCUCCAUAAUCUAUGAAGCUGACAGACCUGAAAAUGCAGGACUUAGUAAAUCCUUAAAGAUACUACGAAAAGCAAAAGAAGGGAUCGACCAGGUUCAGCAAGUGUCAUGGGCGGACUUGAUCGCAGUGGCUGGUGCUGAAGCAGUUGCACUCUGUGGAGGGCCUGAAAUUUCCAUAAGAUUAGGCCGUUUAGAUUCCAGCACUGCUGAUCCUACCGGUAAACUUCCUGAAGAAACAUUGGAUGUUGUGGCCUUGAAAACGUCAUUUGGCAAAAAGGGCUUUUCGACACAGGAGAUGGUCGUUUUAUCUGGAGCUCACACAAUUGGGGGUAAAGGAUUCGGGAAUCCAAAUGCUUUUGAUAACGCCUAUUUCAAAGUACUCCUUGAGAAGCCACGGCCGACUUCAUCUGGCAUGCCGAUAGGGCUGCCCACGGACUGGGCACUCACUGAAGAUGAUGAAUGCUUAAGGUGGAUCGAUAUCUACGCGGAGGACGAGGAUAAAUUUUUCGCCGACUUCAGAGAUGCAUACACCAAGCUUGUAAAUAGCGGAGCCUCGUGGAGAACAGCUUAG
This 987-nucleotide ribosomal RNA is filed under the name Triticum aestivum (bread wheat). RNAcentral's name for it is "partial small subunit ribosomal RNA". The record is from RNAcentral. Lineage: Eukaryota; Viridiplantae; Streptophyta; Magnoliopsida; Poales; Poaceae.